UUUCCGUAGGUGACCUGCGG
RNAcentral lists this ribosomal RNA (20 nucleotides) under Boletus aereus. Its description in RNAcentral is "partial 18S ribosomal RNA". The record is from RNAcentral. Lineage: Eukaryota; Fungi; Basidiomycota; Agaricomycetes; Boletales; Boletaceae.